UACGGAGGGUGCAAGCGUUAUCCGGAUUCACUGGGUUUAAAGGGUGCGUAGGAGGGCAGGUAAGUCAGUGGUGAAAUCUUCAAGCUUAACUUGGAAACUGCCAUUGAUACUAUUUAUCUUGAAUACUUUGGAGGUAAGCGGAAUAUGUCAUGUAGCGGUGAAAUGCUUAGAUAUGACAUAGAACACCAAUUGCGAAGGCAGCUUACUACACAGUUAUUGACACUGAGGCACGAAAGCGUGGGGAUCAAACAGG
Molecule: ribosomal RNA, 253 nt
Filed under: uncultured bacterium
Lineage: Bacteria
Description: partial 16S ribosomal RNA
Rfam family: Bacterial small subunit ribosomal RNA
Source: RNAcentral